AGGAAGAUAGGGGAGAGAGAAGAAUAGAGGGGGAAAGGGAAAUAGGUGGGUUGGGUUGAAGGGGGAGGAGUAGUUGUGGACAAAGACCAAAAGAAUUGGGCUCUGUGGGUGAUGGUCAGAAGAAAUCAGGUGGCAUGUGGGGGAGGAGGAGAGAUGGGUUUACUUUUUAAAUUUUAUUUUGUUAAAAUGUGGUUUUUUAUAUUUUUAUUUUUAAUUAUUGGAAUAUUUAAUUAUAUUUUUAUCUAUGUGGAGGUGGACUCCACUUACCAUGUCAUCAAAGUUAGCAUACUUUUGGAUAGAGUUGACGGCAUGGGUCAAAGUGAGUCACUAAACCUCAGUUAAGGGAUGAAUGAAAGUGGGCCAUUUUGAGUUUGAAAU
RNAcentral lists this long non-coding RNA (378 nucleotides) under Prunus persica (peach). Its description in RNAcentral is "long non-coding RNA (PPER_LNC000544)". The record is from RNAcentral. Lineage: Eukaryota; Viridiplantae; Streptophyta; Magnoliopsida; Rosales; Rosaceae.